RNAcentral lists this ribosomal RNA (435 nucleotides) under uncultured Glomus. Its description in RNAcentral is "SSU rRNA". It matches the Rfam family "Eukaryotic small subunit ribosomal RNA", at positions 569 to 1005 of the family's 1831-position model. The record is from RNAcentral. Lineage: Eukaryota; Fungi; Glomeromycota; Glomeromycetes; Glomerales; Glomeraceae.
AGCAGCCGCGGUAAUUCCAGCUCCAAUAGCGUAUAUUAAAGUUGUUGCAGUUAAAAAGCUCGUAGUUGAAUUUCGGGAUCAAUACGUCGGUCGUGCCUCGGUACGUACUGGCAUUAUUGAUUUCUCCCUUCUGAAGAACCGCGAUGUCAUUAAUUUGGUGUCGUGGGGAAUCAGGACUGUUACUUUGAAAAAAUUAGAGUGUUUAAAGCAGGCGCACGCUUGAAUACAUUAGCAUGGAAUAAUGAAAAUAGGACGUUUGAUUCUAUUUUUGUUGGUUUUCUAGGAUCGACGUAAUGAUUAAUAGGGAUAGUUAGGGGGCAUUAGUAUUCAAUUGUCAGAGGUGAAAUUCUUGGAUUUAUUGAAGACUAACUACUGCGAAAGCAUUUGCCAAGGAUGUUUUCAUUAAUCAAGAACGAAAGUUAGGGGAUCGAAGAC